ACGCUCGACACCUACGGUAGGCAGCAGUCGGGAAUAUUGCGCAAUGGAGGAAACUCUGACGCAGUGACGCCGCGUAUGGGAAGAAGGUUUUCGGAUUGUAAACCAUUUUAGACAAGGAAGAAACAAGACAGUACUUGUAGAAUAAGCUCCGGCUAACUACGUGCCAGCAGCCGCGGUAAUCUGAGGCGGGCUGGCGAAGGC
RNAcentral lists this ribosomal RNA (201 nucleotides) under uncultured bacterium. RNAcentral describes it as "partial 16S ribosomal RNA". It matches the Rfam family "Bacterial small subunit ribosomal RNA", at positions 326 to 540 of the family's 1533-position model. The record is from RNAcentral.